ACAAACUCUGAGAGUCUUCUGCUGUGUUUAUCACAGACAGAGAGGGAACCAUCAACUCAGUGGGUCUCAGAGAAGAGGAAGAGAAGAGAGGGAAGUCUUUGUACUGCUUUUGACCAGAGAACUGAGGUUGUCUUAAAAAGCGUUUAUGAAAACAUAUCUCUUUUAAGUUGCUCCUGUUUAAGAAGGCUGUGGCUUAUCCAUGAGAAAGGAUAAGCAUUCUCCUGUGGUUGAUAUUUAUGGGAAUGCAAGGUGACAGGGAGCCAGCAAGACCUUGCUCUUCAGGGUCUUUAUGUGAAAUAAGCCAUCAUCAUCUGACUGACAUGGAUUGAAGAUUGCAGAACAUAUCA
Long non-coding RNA from Rhinolophus ferrumequinum (greater horseshoe bat), 347 nucleotides. RefSeq lists it as uncharacterized. The record is from RefSeq and is a predicted model, not a curated record. The transcript has 3 exons. Lineage: Eukaryota; Metazoa; Chordata; Mammalia; Chiroptera; Rhinolophidae.